Long non-coding RNA from Onychostoma macrolepis, 243 nucleotides. RefSeq lists it as uncharacterized. The transcript has 3 exons. The record is from RefSeq and is a predicted model, not a curated record. NCBI's taxonomy places the organism in Eukaryota, Metazoa, Chordata, Actinopteri, Cypriniformes, Cyprinidae.
CUUCCAGACAUUUUGAAUGCCCUGGAGGCUUUACAUGACUUCGCCAUAGAAAAGAGUGAUUCAGAGUGUGCAUCCAGUGCUUCAAGCCUCUGCCAGGAACUGAAGAAAUGGCCAUUUAUGAAGAAAGAAGCCCAUCACUAACUUCUGGAUAGCUAAGGUACAGCUCCUACAUCUGUGCAUCAUGUUGGUGUGAAGACCUGUGAGAAGACAUCAACAAGUAGGACUCUCUGUGUCAGAAGCGUG